CGUUGUAUCAUCUGUCAUUAGGCAAUUUUGUGUACAAUCACGAGCUCUCAUAACGCUCUGGGAGUAAUUAGUGUCCGAAGCGUCCAACCACUGAAUACAAAACGCCCGACUUAAACAGCAAUUUUCAUUCGAGCAAAGUCUCCGUAAUCAGUCUAACAUCGCCGCGUGUGUAACAAAAAAUUUUGCGGUUCCAGCCGAUCAAACGGGCAAGCGUUCAGCCCCUGUUCAUGAGAGCAAUUUUCACUUUGUGAAGUGGCGAUAUUUCAUACGUCGAACGAAGCGAAACAAUGCAGAGUCCUGCUUUUGACAUCCCUCCUCUUUUAGGCCGGGGGCACAAUGGAGGCGUUACAACUAAAGAGACUUUGCCAAACAGUUGGCCAAAAUUUAUUAAUAUAGGAAUGGAAUUUUUGAGCGCAAUUCCAGCACAAUGUGAGCUUUGCGGGGAGACACGGAUUUUUGGAAUAAUUAAACGCGCUUUCGGAUUUCGCCAAAUCAUAACGUUUAUGCAAAUGAAGUUUGUUCGGCGUCUUGAUGGGCAAAAAGUCACCCUCUUGCAUCGCUUAUCUAUCAUCAUUAGUGCUUUUUGUCGAGAUGACUGGAACUUUGCGUCUUGUCUCCUAAAUUAAGCAAUUUUUCGUUUUUUUUUGGCGCUCUUUGAGGUUGAUUUAAUUAAUUGCCAAAAUAAUUAAAAUUAUGCAAAGCACGACCGGACAAAUGUUUCGGAUCGAUUCCAUGUCAAAACUUUUUAGUUAAUUUAUCGGCGUUCUAAUUCAACCGUUGAAGCUUUUCAAUUAGCAAUCUGUAUGACAGGUCGUUCAAAGAAACAUAAACGCUGCUAUCGCAGGUGCACACGAACUAAACACCAGUAAACUGCUAAAAUUAAUGUCGCAAUUAAACUCGGGCUUUAUACAUUUUAAUAUUUUCUUCUUUAUAACUCUAAAAGGAGGGAUAUUUUCGUCUCAAGUUUAUGACGGCCGCAACAACAAUAAUUGAUUGAGGAAAAUGAGUUUUUAAUUAACUUUCCGCGUUCUUUUCCCUCGGACUUUUUCAUAAUUACGGUAUUAGAGCGAAACUUGGUCCUGUUAUUAAAUUAUCGUCGAAUUCGGGUAACGCAAAAUAAAUUAUUCUUUACAAUGUCGCAUUUGUCGCGCAGUCAUAAAUAAAAUUUAAGUUGUG
Long non-coding RNA from Tribolium castaneum (red flour beetle), 1176 nucleotides. RefSeq lists it as uncharacterized. The transcript has 2 exons. Lineage: Eukaryota; Metazoa; Arthropoda; Insecta; Coleoptera; Tenebrionidae. The record is from RefSeq and is a predicted model, not a curated record.